CUGUCCUAAGCUACUAAUGAACCUGUAGGCAUUGGCCAACUCGGAUGCAGCUAUAAUUUCGGCCUCAGUUGCAUCUCCUUCUUUUCCAUAUGCAAUGUUGGCGCGGAUGGUGUCGUUAAAUAAAGCAGGUUCUUGGCUCACAAGCCCCAUCUGUUGCCUUAACCAUUUCAAUUGGAAUUUUCCAAGUUCAAUUCCAUCAAGUGUGAUAUGACCUGAAUCCGGAUCAUAAAAUCUUUGCAACAAUGCUACUACUGAGGAUUUUCCACUCCCACUUUCUCCAACCAAGGCAACUGUCUGCAAAAGAGAUUCACAAAAGAACCACCUAUAUGAAGACCUAAACUUCAUCAUCAUGUCAUCAAACUAAAAUAUUAUAAGAUAAUAAAUUUAUUUAUAAAAAAAAUAACAGAAUUGAAAUCCAAAUCAAUGAUGAAGUGCUUACAUUGCCACAAUGGAUAGUCAAACUUAGGUCUCGGAAAAUCUGUAUGUCUUGCCUAGAUGGAUAUUUAAAGAUUACAUGGUGAAGCUCAAUCUCUCCCUUUACGAUGUCCAAUUUCACACCAGACUCGUCACUAGAGUCUAUCUUUGACUUCCUGUCUAUUAUUGCAAAUAUGGAAGCAGCAGCAUUCUUGGCUUUACUAAAAUCAACAGCAAAGGAGCACGACUGAGAAAUUCCCAUAGCUGCCAUGGUUAAGGCAUAAAAAACCUGCAGGCCAAAUACACAUCUUAAAACCAUCUACAUAUGCUUUGGUCUUGUUUUAACAACUAUUUGAUUAAUGGAGGGAAGAAUCAGAGAGGCGCUGCAACUGCAACUACAUGUCGAGAGGCCUCUUCGUUACAGGUGCAUAGACGAGAUCCAUCUCACUAUCCCAGUGGUGUGUCAAGAUUAUAUGAUUUUUAUAUAUAGGAUCCAUUGAGUUUCUUGUUUCCACAUUGUAUUUUACUCUGCAUUAGAGUCCUUGUUAGGGUUAAUAACUGUAAACUGGUUUGCAACUCAUAACAUUAGCUAAAUCAGUUAGGAAUUCUCAGGGCUUGUCUUUGUGCCAGUAAAAAGAGAUCUCUGAACUUGGAAGACUUUGAUGUUGCAGAGGACUAAUAUAAAACACAAUGCCAAGUACCUCUGGUUACAUUCUAAUAUUUCAAUUUCAUUUAUUUACUUGCACAAACAGAUUCAGCUAAAUUUCAAGUUGCAAAUUGAUGAACAAGGGAAGCAGCUGAAAAAGAUGUUUGAUCUGCAACAAAAAAACUCUUUACCAAAAGAAUAUGAUAAGAGACCUUCCAAGCAUAAAAGAGAUCCAUGAUGUUUGUGAAGGUUGCCAACUUGGCAAACAACAUUGACAAGCAUUUCCAUCUGGAAAGGCUUGGAGAGCUAAUGCCUUGUUGGAACUUGUUCACACAUACGUUUGUGGACCCAUGAGGACUUCAUCUCUUGAUAACAAUAAGUACUUUAUCCUAUUCAUAGAUGACUAUACUAGAAUGAGACGUGGGUGUAUUUUCUAUGAGAAAGAUCAGAAGUACUUAGGGUAACUUACUCAAACGGUCCUUAAACUUGUACGCGAUUUACAUUUUGGUUCCUCAAUUAAAUUAUUCGUUCAAAUGGUCCAUAAACUCUAUUUUAAUCGCCCAUUUGAUCCAACCGUUACAUUUUCUGUGAGUUUUUAACAAGUCAAUGCCAGUGGUGGGGUCUACGAUGGGUAUAUGCGUCUUUUUAAACCUGAAAAGGUAUAUGCGUCUUUUUAAACCUUAAAAGGCUUUGAUUGUCUUCUUCGAUUAGCCAAAGAUGAAGUCUUCAGUUCGGGAAACAGGAGGUGCAAAGGCAACAGUAAAGAUUUUGGAGUUGCUAGGGUUCCUAUUUGCGGGUUUUGCGGGAAUUUCUGGAUUUCGAUCAUUGUGGAUGCUUGUCACUGAUGGAGUUCAAGUUCCGUUGGGGUGGAGAGAAUCCCAAAUACGGUAAGAGAUUCUCUGUCUGUAUUUUAUAUUCAUCUUGUUUUGCAAAUCGAUGCUUUUUGUUUGCAAGUGUUGGUCCAAAGGUCAGUUUCUUUAUGUUUAAAAUCUCUGGCAUUUUAUUUCCUUUAUGCUGGCAUUGACUGCAAAGUAUAGGUUUUUAUGUUUGGUGUGGUCCCUUUGUUGUCUGCUUCACACUUAAUUCACUAUUAGUAUUGAGUGAAACUGUAAAAAAAAAUUAAAACCCUAAACCUAUGGCAUUAGAUAAACGAGAUGUGUGUGCAGCUAACUUUGAAAUUUGAGGUGUACUUUUUUCAGCUAUCUCUGACAGAUUCACUCUUGAACUACACCAUGGGGGUAUGUUUGAAAAUGGAGUUUAUAAAGGUGGUAAGGUCUGUUAUUUAGAUAAUGUUGUUGAUGACUUUCUGUCAUUGCUGGAUUUAAGGAAGAUAGGGAAAGAGUUGGGGUAUACAAUAGAUGUUUCGAAAAUUGAGCAAACUAUGGAGAUUAGGUAUAGAAAGGCUGGACAAAAGGAUAGUAACAUAUUGGAGCUUAUUACCUCUGAUGCUAAAGUAGUUGAAAUGGUUGGAUACAUGCUAUGUAAUAGGGUUCAUGUGUUGUACUAUACAGAUUUGGAAAAUUCAAAUGGUAAUGGGUUUGGGAGUCAAGCAUUUGCUGCAUGGCCUAGUUUGGAUAUUGCAUAAUAUAACUAUGAUGCAGAUGUAGAAAAUGAUGGGAAGGGUGUUACAUGGCACACAUUUAGUGAACCAAGGGAUGCAGAUGUAGAUGUAGAAGUUGGAAAUGAAGGGGAAAAUGAGGCUGCAGCAACUGAGAAUGGAGAGGUUGGAAAUGAAGGGGAAAAUGAGGAAAAUGAUGCAGAAUUUGUGGAUUGUGAUUAUGAAUUUAGUGAACAAGAGGAUGAGGUGCUUGUAGCUGAGAAUGUGGUAGUUGGGGGCCUAAGUGGUGAGCCCAAAGCAGGUGAGAACGUUCGGCCUACUGUUCAGCCCAAUACAGGUGAGAAUGUUGAGCCUACUAUUGCCCCCAAUGCAUGUACGAAUGUUGGGCCUACUGUUUAGCCCUAUGGACAUGAGAAAGUUGGGCCUACUUAUGAAGCUCCAGGAGAGGUAUCAUCAAAUGGUGCUAACACAUCAGAUUUGGACACAGGAAGUGAUGAAGAGGAUCAAGAUCAGGGUAAUGGUGAGGAAAAGGGCAAAAGAAAGAAAAAAAAAAUUGCCAAAGUUGAAGGAGUACAGGAGAGAGGUGGAUUUAAGGAAUCCAGAGUUUAGGAUGAGAAUGCGAUUUGUAAACAAAAAGGUAUUGAAGAGAAGCUAUGGAGGAGUAUGCAAUUAUACAUGGUAAGUUGAUAAAAUUAAAAAAAAAUUUACAAAGUGAGGCUCCAAGCAGUAUGUAUGUGAGGACUGAAAUGUCCAUUUUAUUUAUAUGCUUCAAAGAUAGAUAAGAGUGAAUCUACAUUUGUAAUCAAAACUAUGAGCUUGGAACACACUUGUGGGAGGGUCGACAAGUUGAAGUAUGCCUCAUCCAAGUGGCUUUGCAAUAGGUGUUCUAAGAAGCUGAAGGGAGACACAGACUUGGAUGUGAAAUCAUUGCAAGAGGAUGUUUUGGAGGAUUAUUGGAUGAAUGUCACAAGACAUCAAAUAUACAAGGCCAAAAAGAGGGCCAAAGUAAUGAUUGAAGGGAGUUACAUAGAACAAUAUGCUAGGUUAAGGGAUUAUGCAGAGGAAUUGAAGAAGGCAAACAAGGGAAGUACAGUUGUAAUUAAAACUGAACAAGUGGGGGGCCAAGCUAUCUUUCUAAGGAUGUGUGUUUGCUUCGUUGGUAGCAGGCAAGGGUUUUUAGAUUGAUGCAGACCAGUUAUUAGUGUGGAUGGGUGCCACGUAAAAGGUCUUUGUCCUAGCCAGAUUUUGUCAGUAGUUGGGGUGGCUGGCAACAAUGGCAGUUUCCCAAUUGCUUAUGCAGUUGUUGAGAUUGAAAUCAAACAAUCGUGGAUUUGGUUUCUUAGGCUGUUGAUUGAAGAUCUAAAGAUUACAAAUGGUUUGUCAUAUGUGUUCAUUAGUGACAAGCAAAAGGGACUCAUACCUGCAAUUGAAACUAUACAUCCAACUGCAGAGCACAAGAUGUGUGUGACACUUAUAUAAUAACUUUAGAUCAUCACACUCUGAUCUUGCUCUAAAACACAUAUUAUAGGCUACAGCAAGAGCCAUAACUAUGUCUUGCAAGAGCCACAACUAUGCCUUGGUGGGAAGCUGAAAUGGAAAAUAUGAAACAAGAGGAUGAGGAAGCGUGGAAAUGGCUCAGUAAGAGACUUGCAAAGAAUUGGAGCAGAUCUCAUUUUCAUACACGGUUUAAGUGUGAUCUGUUGUUGAACAAUCUUUGUGAAAGUUUCAAUUCAGCAAUAGUAGAUGCAAGAGAUCAGUUCAUUUUGGCUUGCUUGGUGAGAAUAAGAGUCUUGUGAUGCUUAUGAUGGCAAAUAGAAGGGCUGCAUGUCCGAAAUGGAAAUAUCCAGUUGGGCCAAGAAUCUUGAAGAUAAUUGAGAAGUACAAGUUAGAUGCCUCCACAUGCAUUCAUCGACUGGUUGGCUCGCAAACAUAUCAAGUGUCCCACAUGUAUGGUGGAGAAUUUGUUGUGGAUUUUAGGGCAAGGACAUGUUCUUGUCGGAGGUGGGAUUGGCCAUGCAAUUUCUGCAAUUUUUCAAAGGGAUGAAAGCCCCAUUGAUUAUGUGGGUGAAUGUUACAAGCCUGCAACUUAUAUGAAGUCAUAUGAACCAAUGAUUCACCCCAUCCCUUCAAUGGACCAGUGGGCUAACUCUGGGCAUCCUCCAAUACAUCCCCCAAAUGUUAGGGUACAGCUAGGAAGGCAAAAAAAAACUAGGUCCAAAGAACCUGCUGAAAUUCUGGUACCACCACCACCCCCACCACAUCCAAUGCCUCCAAAUUAUGUUCAACCAAGAGACAAGCUUAGAAGACUUUUUAUUAAGAUCACAUGUAGGAGAUGUGGUCAAAGUGGCCAUAGUAGGGCAACGUGUGACAGACAGAACUCAGAAAAUCAAUAGGUAAUUAUUUAUUAUGCAAAUUUAGAGUUGUUACAUGUUUUGGAAGUAAUAAUUCCUUGUGCUCUUGCAGGCAAAUGCAUCUUCUGCCUAAAAAGAGGUCCACACUAAGGGAGGGGUAGUUUGACUGAGGGGUAGAGGACGAGAAAGAGGAAUAGCCAACGAGGCUCCAGCUGUUGCAAAAGAAGUUGCUACUUCUUCUCAACAAAGUGUACGUUUUUUGGGGUAUUUUUCUGCAAAUAUGCUGUCUCACAAAUUUGUAAUGUAGUUGCGAACUUAUAUUGGUCCUCUUUGUUUAGGUGGCAAGAGGUAUAAGAGGUUGGCCAAGAAGUAUGCUAAGAGAUAUGGGAAGAGGGUUGGCCAGAUGAAGAGGAAGAGCCAAUGAGGCUCCAGCUGUUGCAACUGAAGUUGCUACUUUUUCCCAACAACGCGUAUGUUGUUUGGGGUUUAUUUUUCAAAUAUGCUCACUCACUUUUUUGCAAUAUAGUUGAGAACUUAUAUUGGUCCUCUUUCUUGUUCACCCGUUUUAUAUUCGUUCCUGUGAUGGUAGGGUAAAGUUCCCCAUUGUCUUGAAAACCAUUGACUAGUUAACAAGUCAACUUUCUUUUGUGUAUGAGCGUGCCACUGCUAGCAACAAAAACCCUAGCAGACUUCUUUACAAAAUGGAUAACUUGCGCCCCAAGUUACUAAUUUCUAAACAAGCGAUUGUGAAUUUCGGUGAUGAAUAUCUCUCAAGUAAGUUCUUUUCUUGCCUCAGACUGGUCAGAACUUCACAAUUUUUCACAGUACAAAACUUGUAGUUCUGCCCAGAAUAAAUGAUAAGAAAGUGGAUUUUUUAGGCAGAACUGUCCUUUGGUAAGCUUAAAAAGGAAAGACCAACUCUAAAAGAGAAAAAAGAGCGUUGGUCUUCAAUUUUUGCCUGGAUAGAUGCUUCUGAUCCGGGCUGGACUGGGUAUGUCUGUGUUGGAUUGGACUAUCAACACCUUCAACUGUCAAGCUUCAGCUAUAAAUUGAUAUCAACGUUCGAGUUUGGCAGAGCUUUAAUCUGUUUCAAGCCUUGGAAGGCUUUUUGGAUGGGCAGAAUUAGGACCUCUUCAGUUUGGAAGGGGCAGAAGUGGCUGGAUUUGAUGAUUACUGAGCUGGAACUGCAUUGUAGUACCUGUUCUGCUUGGUCAGGGCUCUCCAUAAAUUUGUUGAGGUUUUCAUAUUUGUAAAAACCCGAACUCUGCUUGAUUUGGCUUGUGCUGAACCAAAUUUGUAAUGAGAGAACUCUAGCUUUGAAUAAUUAUUUCUCUGAAACUGAACUGGAGUUAGUGAUUCUGGAUUUAUAGCUGACUUGUUUCUUGUAGCUCAACGAGCUUUUGGUUGCUUAAGUGUUUUGAAGGCUUUUGAGAUCAAGUGAUCAUUUUGAGUUUUUGUCUUUGAUUGAUUUUUUUGGCUAUCCUUGAUUUGUUCACCUUCUCUCAUAUUUAUAGGAAAUGCUGGAGUGGGAUUUCUAAUCUUUUAAUAAUGGGCGGCAGAUUUCCUAAAGGCAAGAUCUUUUAUUUUAAAUGUCAAGAAAAAGGGGAUUUUAAUCUAUUCUGUCAAAAAGCUAUCAACAGUCAGUUCUUUCUCUGUUUUUUUUUAUUUUAAAGAAAGCCUAAUCCCUUUUCAACUUCUACCUGCUCUUUGCAAGGUUUCAAUCUGCCGUGAUGGUUAGUUUGAUUUUCCAGAUGAACAACUCCCUGCACCCUACUUAUCUCUUUAGAAAAUGUAGUUUGCUUAUCCCUUGGAAAUGAUGCCUGUCCUGAUGUAGAAUUAUAUAGAAAGGGAUUUUGAUCUUCUUUUGACUGAAAAUAUUGGAGACAUUUGCCUGUUUAAGACCUGCCGUCAUUAAUUCCCUGUCAAUUCUCUUGUGACUAGUUGAAUUUAUUGACUUUUCAAAGUCAGGUAGCCAUGUGGGCUUCUUUGAGAAUAGAUUUUUCCAAAAAGAUCUGAUGACUUGUUUUAUGGGUUUUGAGAUCAAUGGUGUAAAAAAGGGCUGGGCUAGUGUCACAUCCCGGGAUCGGCUCCGCCGUAGCACGAUAUUGUCCACUUUAGGCCCCCCCUCUCUGGCCCUCACGGUUUUGUUUCUAGGAGCUCACGAGCAACUUCCCAGUGGGUCACCCAUCCUGGGAUUGCUCUAGUUCCCAACUCGCUUAACUUCGGAGUUCCUACGACUCCGAAGCCAGUGGGCUCCCAAAAGGCCUCGUGCUAGAUGGAUGCGGGUGUGCACAUAUAAGGCACAUUACCCCCUCUCCGUUGGUUGAUGUGGGAUCUUACAAUCCACCCCCCUUAAGGGCCUGACGUCCUCGUCGGCACACUCGCACCACACGGCAGAGUGGCUCUGAUACCAAAUUGUCACAUCCCGGGAUCGGCUCCGCCGUAGCACGAUAUUGUCCGCUUUAGGCCCCCCCUCUUUGGCCCUCACGGUUUUGUUUCUGGGAGCUCACGAGCAACUUCCUAGUGGGUCACCCAUCCUGGGAUUGCUCUAGUUCCCAACUCGCUUAACUUCGGAGUUCCUACGACUCCGAAGCCGGUGAGCUCCCAAAAGGCCUCGUGGUAGAUGGAUGUGGGUGUGCACAUAUAAGGCACAUCACCCCCUCUCCGUUGGUUGAUGUGGGAUCUUACAGCUAGUCUCUUUUACUGGAUAAAAAACCCAUGUGUUUUGUCUCAUGGCCCUUUCCUGAAAAAGAAAUGGGCUAGGUGUGUUGAGAAUUGGCCCAUUCUUGAGAAAGACUCUGGUGGCUGCCCGAAAUUGACAUGGGCUUUUUGAUUUUGGGCUCUUGAUUCCAAUUGAAUAAAAAGCUCAAACUACUUAGAUCCUGAGAUUGCUUUGUCUUUCUGGGCCUCCAGCGCUGGGCGUGUGGAAUUUUGGCCCAAACAAUGCCCCCCUUGAAUAUGAACUGUUUUGGAAAAUGGUUCCAAUUUUUAACAGUUCAGAUUUGAAUUAAUUGGCCAUUAAUGUUGCGUGCCACUCUCCUUUGCUUUAACUAAUCCACGUCUGCCACGUCUUGUCUACUGAACUAGACUUCGUCAGAAACUGGGUAGUUAUUAGCUAGUUACUAGCUAGCCAUCAUCAAAUGACGUUUUGCCUUCUUCUUUCCAUGAUUUCGAGCCCUUUUCAAAAGAAUUUUGAACCCUAAGCUCCUGUUAAUAUGAAAACCUAACUCUUUCAGACUCUGAUUUCUUUCAAAGUCCUCAGAAUUCUUUUGCCUUUUUCUGCGACCCAACCUUGAUUUCUUAUGAUUUGAUUCCUUCUAUUCCAAUUUUAAAACUAAAAAUGGCCUCCCUAAAAACUCGUGCUGCUUCGUCGUCUCCUUCUAUUCCCCCUGCCUUCAUUACUAGCGGAAGCGUUGAUAAACAUGAGAUUGAAAUCCGGAGCAAGCUUCAUCCUUUUGCCCAGAGAGUUCUGAAUGAGAACGUGUUACAUUUGUUCGAGAACACUCUUGUUCUGGGGCCUUAUUGGUUUGGUUUUGUCCCUGCUGACAAAAUUGAUUAAAGAAGAUGUUGAAGCUCCUCUAUGCUUUCAAAGCUCUUCUGCCCUAGCUUCUCACACCUAGGUCAGCAAGAAUUUAAUCCGCUCAUUUCCCUCUAGUGAAGUGAGAAAUAGCGCAGUGAAGUGGGUAGACAGGAUUGAUAGGGUUCUCCCAAGGUAUGGCGCUCAGUGGAAGAGGGUUGGGCUUUAUGAUGCAAUCCUUCUGUCCAAGCAGCCCAUUAACAGAGAUGAGAAUCUUCUGGCUCCAUCAACGAAAAGUCAAAACUGCUUUGAUCUUGAGAUUGCUUUGUCUUUCUGGGCCUCCAGCCCUGGGCGUGUGGAAUUUUGGCCUAAACAUUUCUUUAGUUGGCAAAAGGUGUGGGAAGAGGUUUGCCAAGAACUAUGGUCAGAGGUUUGGCAAGAGGAAGGGCAAAUAUACCAUUCUCACAGUUAGAGGUUUGGCAAGAGGAAGGGCAAAGUUGCCAUAAGUUUAGCACCGAAGAGAAAGUUAUGCGUUCUUGGGGGAAAAAUGAUGAAUAGAGCACGAAUUUGCUGGGUCUUGCAGGUGAGAGAGGAAGUUUGCUCUCUAGAUGUGGUUGUUUUAGCUAAUGAUGAAGUAGUGGGGUGCUAGGUAGUUUCCGGCAGCUCGACGAAAACUCUGUCAAGCUUUGGAAAAGUUUUCCAAAAGGGAAAAUGGGAAGAGAUGGAAGGAUGAGCUCGAAAUUUUAGAUGUUUCAGAGUUGAGAGAUAAAGCUUGCUCUCCAGAUGUGUGUUGUGAUGAUGGGUAGGAAAUGCCUCUUUUUAUAGGCGCUGAAUGCUAUCAUUUUCCAAGAAACCCAAAUGAUUUCUGUAUAAUUUGGUCAAGUCUUUCCCUUCCUUUCCCUCUUCAUCUCUUCAAUCAUCCUAUUUUGGUGAAAUUUUCUCUGCCCAUUUGCACAAAAUCAGGGAUUUUUGGGAGCUCAAGGCCCUUUUCCUGCAGCUGCCUCAAUGGAGAAUCCCUAUUUUCAGCCAUCUUUCUUCCUUCUUUUCUCCCAUCUUCCAAGGCUAGGUCUGAUGAGGGAAAGAAAUGGGCAUGUAUACUGGUUUGAAGGGUGUUUUGCUCAAGUGUGCCUUGGUUUUUUGGAUGUUUUUGCUUGAAACUUGUUCCCUCCCAUGUGUUGGAGCUUCCCAGCAGCUUACACACAUGGAUAUUUUGGCUUUCAUCAUGGCUUUUGUUUUCACCUAGGUGCUGGAGAUUUUGCAGAUAUUUUCUUGAGUUGCUUGGGCCUUCUAGGACAAUAAGUUGGUUUAUCAAGUGAAUGGGCUAACUUCAUCAAUUGUUGGGUUAUUUUGGUUGAGUUAAUAGACUAUUUUGGUUGAAGUAAUGGGCUAUUUUUAUGUCUUUGUGCUCACCCACAUAUUUGGGCCUAAGAAAUGGGCUUGAGUUCUGGGGCUCCCAAGCAACCCCGGGACUUCCAUUUCUCGACUCAUCAAUGGGCCUCAUGUCAACUUAUUACUAUCCAUACCACAACCCACUCAAGCAAGCCCCGGGCCUCUUGCGUGGCUUGGGCCCGGUUAAGCUUGUAACGUGGCGUGUUGCUCAUUUGCUUGGCGUGGCAUGUGUGCAAACGCGUAUGACAAACUUUCUCGUGCCCAAAUCGGGUUUCUUCUCGGUAAGGUAUCGCAUUGAGCCGAGAAUUUAAUUGGGCUGAACUGUGGAUUUUUUGGGCCUCAACACAAUUUUCUUGAGUUGCUUGGGCCUUCUAGGACAAUAAGUUGGUUUAUCAAGUGAAUGGGCUAACUUCAUCAAUUGUUGGGUUAUUUUGGUUGAGUUAAUGGACUAUUUUGGUUGAAGUAAUGGGCUAUUUUUAUGUCUUUGUGCUCACCCACAUAUUUGGGCCUAAGAAAUGGGCUUGAGUUCUGGGGCUCCCAAGCAACCCCGGGACUUCCAUUUCUCGACUCAUCAAUGGGCCUCAUGUCAACUUAUUACUAUCCAUACCACAACCCAGUCAAGCAAGCCCCGGGCCUCUUGCGUGGCUUGGGCCCGGUUAAGCUUGUAACGUGGCGUGUUGCUCAUUUGCUUGGCGUGGCAUGUGUGCAAACGCGUAUGACAAACUUUUGCGUGCCCAAAUCGGGUUUCUUCUCGGUAAGGUAUCGCAUUGAGCCGAGAAUUUAAUUGGGCUGAACUGUGGAUUUUUUGGGCCUCAACACAAGGCACAAUUGACUAUGGCAUAUGGUAUAAGUCUACUACAGAUCCAAGACUAUUUGGCUACACGGACAGUGAUUGGGCUAUAUCAGUGGAUGACAUGAAAAGCACAUCAGGCUAUGCAUUUACAAUUGGGUCCGGAAUAUUUUCAUGGUCAUAAAAAAAACAAGAGACUGUGGAUCAAUCAUUAGCAUAAGCCGAGUACGUAACAGCAGUAAGUUCAGCAUGCCAAGCUAUAUGGCUCAGAAGAAUAUUUGAAGAUACGGGAGAAUGCCAAACAAAGCUACUGAAAUACUUUGCGACAACAAGUCCGCUAUAACAAUGGCAAAGAAACCAGUGUUCCAUAGUAGGACAAAGCAUAUCGCCAUCAAGCAUCACUUCUUAUGAGAAGUCUCAGCAAACAAAGAAGUUGAGCUCAAGUACUGCAAGACAGAGGAGCAAAUUGCAGACAUUCUCACUAAGGCACAUCCAAAUCCAAAAUUCGAACUGCUACGAAACAUGCUCGGAGUAACAUAAAUGUGCAUUAAGAAGAAGUGUUAAAAAUAUAGAAUAAUAUAGAAAGGUCUUGAAAAAUAUAGAAAAGUAAAGUCUAGAGAAUUUGAAUGAAUGUGCAAACCGACUUUAACAAAGUCGGUGAAUACAAAAAUUCUGAGAGAUCAAAAGUGUACUUUAAUAUAAAAUAUUCAAAGUGCUAAUCCCACCAACUAAGCUAUUGUCGGUUAAGUCUCCAAUAUAUAGGCUUGAUGCCUAUACAAAAUUGUAAGUAAGAAAAGCUGAAAACCACAGCUGUCUAACUCUCCCAUCAGCCAACUCUUGUAUCCAACAAACUCUCAAGCCUUGUACCCUUCUUAUUUCAAUCAAUAAAAUAAAAAAUAUUUUGUUACUUUUUCAAAAGUUUUCCAUUCUAAGUUGUUAUUGUCCCCUAAAGUAAAUCAUUCAAAGUGCUAAUCCCACUAAGAACCAUUCAAAGUGCUAAUCCCACUAACAACUUCUUCUCUCUUAAACUAACAACCAUUCAAAAUGUACGGAUGAGAUCCAUCUCACUAUCUUAGUGGUGUCUCAAGAUUAUAUGAUUUUUAUAUAUGGGAUCCAUUGAAUUUCUUGUUUCCACAUUGUAUUUUACUCUGCAUUAGAGUCCUUGUUGGGGUUAAUAACUGUAAACUGGUUUGGAACUCAUAACAUUAGCCAAAUCAGUGAUAGGAAUUCUCACGGCUUGUCUUUGUGCCAGUAAAAAGAGAUCUCUGAACUUGGAAGACUUUGAUGUUGCAGAGGACUAAUAGAAAACACAAUGCCAAGUACCUCUUGUUACAUUCUAAUAUUUCAAUUUCAUUUAUUUACUUGCACGAACAGAUUCAGCGAAAUUUAAAGUUGCGAAUUGAUGAACAAGGGAAGCAGCUAAAGAAGAUGUUUGAUCUGCAACCCAAAAAAAAAAAACAAGUAACAACCUGUUGAAGACUCAUGCAGUUCUCUUUAGUCUUUGGUGAGAAAAGAAAAGGUGGCAGAUUUUAACCAAACCAUUACAAAGAAAAGGAUAGAUGUACAAGAAUCUCAUGCAGUUGAAGCGCUCAUGUGAAGAGCUACUAAGGAUGCAUAAGAUCCAUUCGAGAUAUUCAUCAAAGUAUCAUGCUUGCCUCUCUCUACGAUAACCCCAUUUUUUACCACUGCGAUCACAUCAGCAUUCUUGAUUGUGGAUAGUCUAUGGGCAACCACCACUGUGGUCCGGUUUACCAUCACUCCGUCUAAUGCAUCUUGAACCACUCUCUCAGAUUCAGCAUCGAGUGCACUUGUAGCUUCAUCUAACAGUAAUAUCUUGGGGCUCUUGAUUAUAGCACGCGCAAUGGCUAUGCGUUGCUUCUGUCCCCCGGAUAAUUGCACUCCUCGUUCUCCUACUAUGGUGUCAAACCCCUGCAUAAUGCAUUCGGAUUAAUGUUGCAACAAUCUAUUAUAAGUUAUAACUAAGAUCAGUUGACUUGUACCCAAAAACAUUUAUUAUAAUGCAUUAAUGUUCUAACCUGUCCUAAGCUACUAAUGAACCUGUAGGCAUUGGCCAACUCGGAUGCAGCUAUAAUUUCGGCCUCAGUUGCAUCUCCUUCUUUUCCAUAUGCAAUGUUGGCGCGGAUGGUGUCGUUAAAUAAAGCAGGUUCUUGGCUCACAAGCCCCAUCUGUUGCCUUAACCAUUUCAAUUGGAAUUUUCCAAGUUCAAUUCCAUCAAGUGUGAUAUGACCUGAAUCCGGAUCAUAAAAUCUUUGCAACAAUGCUACUACUGAGGAUUUUCCACUCCCACUUUCUCCAACCAAGGCAACUGUCUGCAAAAGAGAUUCACAAAAGAACCACCUAUAUGAAGACCUAAACUUCAUCAUCAUGUCAUCAAACUAAAAUAUUAUAAGAUACUAAAUUUAUUUAUAAAAAAAAUAACAGAAUUGAAAUCCAAAUCAAUGAUGAAGUGCUUACAUUGCCACAAUGAAUAGUCAAACUUAGGUCUCGGAAAAUCUGUAUGUCUGGCCUAGAUGGAUAUUUGAAGAUUACAUGGUGAAGCUCAAUCUCUCCCUUUACGCUGUCCAAUUUCACACCAGACUCGUCACUAGAGUCUAUCUUUGACUUCCUGUCUAUUAUUGCAAAUAUGGAAGCAGCAGCAUUCUUGGCUUUACUGAAAUCAACAGCAAAGGAGCUCGACUGAGAAAUUCCCAUAGCUGCCAUGGUUAAAGCAUAAAAAACCUGCAGGCCAAAUACACAUCUUAAAACCAUCUGCAUAUGCUUUAGUCUUGUUUUAAAAACUAUUCGAUUAAUGGAGGGAAUAAUUACUUGGAAAACGUGUGGAAAUGUUGUUUUUCCAGCCUCAACAAGUUUAGCUCCCGCAUAGAAACAGGUUGCAUAGACACAAAACAGAGAGAAGAAAGAUAUUCCAAAUCCUAUUCCGCUGAUCAAGCCUUGUCUUUUCGCUGCCUCUGUAGGGCCUUCACAUUUCCUUCUGUAUAGGUCCAUUACCUUUUCUUCAGCACAGAACGAAGCAACUGUUCUUAUGCUCCCAACUGCAUCAUUUGCAACUUGGCUUGCUUCCUCAUACAUCAUCUGCAACCAUUUAAUACAUCUUGAUCGUUAGAAGGAAGAAGGGAUUUGAAUUUACAAAUUGUGAAAUGUUCUAAUAAUCCAGAAUUGGCACUUGAAAAUGUAAAUGUGGACAAAUUAUAACUGUAUUUAAAUGAGAAAGCUUUUACUUUCUGGGAGCUCUAGAUCAUACCUUUGCAUCUGCACUGAAUCCUUUCAUGAACUUUGCUUGAACAUAUCCGUUAAUUCCGAUCAGAGGAAUCAAUGCGAGUAAAAUGAAUGCCAGCUGCCAACAUGCAGUAAAACCAAUGAACAAACCUGCAGCUGCAGUGGCAAUGCUCUCAACUAUAUGAGCUAGUGUGUCUCCUACUAGGGCCCGCACUAGAGCGGCAUCUGCUGAGAGCCUGGCACCAAUUGCACCACUUGAGUUCUCAGCCUCAUCAAACCACCCAACCUCCAUGUGAACCACUCUCUCAAAACAAAUCAAUCUGAUACGUUCAAUUAACUUACUACCAGCCACAGAAAAGAAGUAUUCACUGGCUGGGAUCACCAAUAAUGAUGCCACACCAAGGGUCAUAAACAUAAUUGCCCAAAACUCUGAAUCUUUCUUUUGUUGACGAGGUGGUUCAUAGAAAGUCUUUACUACCUUGGACAAAAGCAAACCAAAAAUUGGAAUCAUAACACCAGUGAUGAUUGCAGCUACAGUCCCAAUAAGAAGCACUGGAAUCUCGGGCUUAUUGAGGGCAACAAGACGGCGCAUUGAGAUCUUUGGAGGUUGCUCUAAUGGCAGGGCAGGGGCUUCUGGGUCUGCCUGCAAUGUAUUAUUGUUCUCACGCAUGCUACCAACAGAGGAAUUCCGACUUAAGGAUCUUACGAACGCCGUCCUUUGACUCAACUGUCUAAAACAUUUCGUAGUAAUUUCGGAUUUGUUUUGAGCUUCUGCUGUUUGUUCUGAUCCCUUGUUUACUUCUUGCAAGCGUAUAAGUUGAGAGUAUGCUCCUUCAGGAUCCUUGAGUAAGUCUGAGUGCGAGCCUGAUCAGUUGACAAAAAGUUACUGUCAAUUGAUAUAUACAGAAAGUACUGAUCAGAGCUGACAGCCUCUUUGUGUAUCUUUCCAUUGUGAAUAUAUACUGCUGUUUCUCUUCACUCUAGUAGAUAAAAAUAUACCAGAUCAAUCUAAUAAUUAACUGCAGCAGCAGUGGACUUUCUGUUGCCUUUCACAUUAUUUAUAAGCCAUACGUCUGCGCUCUAAGUGCCAAUCCCCAACUAGUCUAUCCACAGAAAAGAUGUAUCCAUGGGAAAGAAGCAGGAAAUGCAUAGUAGGCAUGCAUGCAGUUUGAUUUUCUAUACCAUCUUAAACAAAAUGACAAAAUGAUUUUCUUUUGCAGUAAAUAAAUUCUUAGUUGCAGGUUAGUUAUUAAUCUGUUUGGCUCUAUUUACAUCAUCCUCUAAGUCAAUUCUGCAGAAAUAAUUAUGAGAUAGUGUGCAUAAAACAGCAGAAUUUAAUUUGUUGCAAUCUCCAAACAAUGGGUGGGAGAAUAAAAAGAAUGUGCUAUGAAUGGCCUUAUUAGAUAGAAUACCUCUUUCAACCAUCUUUCCUUUAUGAAUGAUAGCAAUUGUAUCUGCGUUCCUCACCGUGCUCAAACGAUGAGCAACAAUAACACUAGUUCGGUUGACCAUAAUCCUAUCCAAUGCUUCUUGAACUAUCCUUUCAGAUUCUGCAUCAAGUGCACUUGUAGCUUCAUCCAGAAGUAAAAUUCGUGGAUCUUUCAAAACUGCUCUUGCUAUAGCAAUUCUCUGCUUCUGCCCACCAGACAGCUGAGUUCCAUGCUCACCCACCAUGGUGUCAAACCCCUGAACACGAAAUAUAUAUGCAAUUCCAAAGUGAAGUAAGCCUAUGUUAUGUUCUUAUGAUGAUCAUGCGUGUAUAUAUAUGUACAGUUCAAUCAAAAUGAGCUAGCUAGAGCAAAUAAAUUAGAACCUGGGGCAGUUUAUCAAUAAAUUUAGCAGCAUUUGCAAGUUGAGCUGCUGCUUCUAUCUCUUCAAGAGUAGCACCAUCUUUUCCAUAGGCAAUAUUUUCCUUAAUGUUGGAUGCAAACAGUACAGGUUCCUGGCUGACAAGACCAAUUUUACUCCGAAUCCAUUUGAGCUGAAAUUCUUUUAGGUUUAUACCAUCUAUCAAAACUUCACCAGCUCUUGGAUCAUAAAACCGCUCUACCAGACUGAUGACUGUUGACUUCCCACUUCCACUUUCUCCAACCAAAGCUGCGGUGGUGCCACUAGGGAUAUAAAGUGAGAACCCGUCGAAUAUUUGUUCAUCUGGUCUGGCUGGAUAACUGAAAAAUACCUCUCUCAACUCUAUAUCUCCACGAAUGUCAUUCAAUGUCUUUCCUUUUUCGUCAUAGGCAUCAAUCUCUGGCCUCCUACUGAUAGUCUCAAACAUCUUAAAUGCUGCAACUUGACCAGCGGCGAAUGCACUUAAGCAUGUUGAUGCCUGCCCCAGAGACCUAACUCAUAUCCCAAAAUAGUUCCAAAAGAAAGAAAAUUAUCAAAUUAUUAAGGAAAAAAGCAAAGAAAAAAAUAAAGGGAAGAAAUUUGAAAGUUAAGAGUGGAGCUUACAUGGAUGCAGUCAAAACAGCAAGAAUCACAUUCAGCACAUCACCCCCGGAAUAUCCUUUUUCCCUUAUCAUUCUUGAACCAAACCAUACAGCCAAGGCAUAAGAGAAGAACAAAACUAGCAUAACGAAACCAUGACCUAUUCCAGCAGCCGAACCUUCAUGAACACCUGAUUUGUAAGCAUCCACAAGAUUUUUACUGUAACUUGUAAUAGCUUUCUUCUCUCCAGUAAAGGAUGCAACCUAGAUAUAUGAUAUAUAGGAACCAACCAAAUGAAAAACAUCAUCAUAUAUAUUCUUGGCUGGUCACACAUAAAUAAAUAAAAAUUAAUUAAUUAUUCCAAUAUCUAGCUCUAAGGCGAAUAAAUUGUACAUUAUGUGACUACAUACGGUUCUAAUGGAGCCUAUCGUCUGAUCAAGAACGUUUGCUGCUUUUGCGUAAGCACUUUGUCCAUGGGAUGCCAUCUUGGUUACAAUGAAGGAUAUAGAUGCACCAGCUGCCACAAGCAGAGGAACACAGGAUAACAUGACAAGGGUAAGAGGCCGCACUUUGAUGAAUGCUAUUAUAAACCCUGCAAUGAAUGUUGAAAAUAGCUGGACAAAUUUCCCAACCUGCACCAACAAGUUGUUGUUACAUUAUUAUAAGAAGAGUAACACAUUUCACGGUUUCUAUUCUUCCAUUCCAUUUCCAGGUGAUUUUUAUUUUUAUUUUUUGUACUAGUACACGUACCUUCUCACCCAUGGCAUUUUGUAUGAGAACAGUGUCGCCGGACAUUCUCCCAACGACCUCUCCACCGCCAUUUGUUUCCAUAUCAAAGAAAGCAAUAUCUUGUCUCAAUAUUGUUUUCAAAUACAAAGCUCUUAUCCUCGCAGCUUGUCUUUCCCCUGUUACCAUCCAGCAACCGACCUCUAUUGAACAAAAAAAAACAGAGGCUUAUCAAUCAGUUCAAAUGCUCAAUUAAUAUAUAGAAAAAGGAAUUUCUCCAUGCAUUGCAUUAUCAAAAACAAAAACUUAUGAUAUGUACUUACGAAGAGUUGCAGCCACAGCUGCCCAGAUAGCCAAAUACACAAAUUUUAGAGAGACCUGCAAUUUUCCAAGAUAAGUGAUCAUCAAGAUGUUCAGCGAAUCAGUAGAGGAAGAGAUCAUGUUAUAAUUAUGUUAUGAAUACCUUGAAACAAAAUAUAUGUAUAAAAAAACACCUGAGCUCCAGAAGUGAACAGGAUUUUCUGGAACUUGAAUAUUUCACCUCAUAAAUUAAAACAGAAGUUGAUAAUGUAAAUAAAAGUAGACGUUUUUUUUCCAGUGGUGGAGAUUAAAACUCAGGUUGUGACUUGUAUGUAGACUUGUGAAACAUAAGUUUACCUUGGAAACAACACUGAGUCCUAUGUGUGUAUUGUUUUGAUUAGUUCCAAAAGAAUCACUCAUCUCCCCAACCAGUAUCGUCAUAAUUGACAUACAUGAACCGUUCCCCAUGGCACCAAUCGUGCCGACGAGCAUCAACAUAACAUCAGUCUUGUCUGCAAACGAAAAUAACUUUAUAAAUGCAACUUUGUCAGUUUUCUCGUCUCUUCCAUAGCUGCUCUUGUCAUGAUCCCUGUUCAUCAUGCUAGACCUCCUCUCUUCUUCUUCUUCUUGGUCUCGGUGUUGCUUUUUGAUGUUGUAUUAUUAUUUCACACUAACCACCAGACUUUUGAUUAAUAGAAAUUUAGUAAAAAACCCAAAAGAAACAAGCUCCUGUCAAACACACCCAAACUAUUUUUUAAAAUGGCUGAAAAGCCCCUAAUCUUAAACAUCAACGACAUGCAAGUCCUAGGCCUCUCUCAUCCAUCUACAACAUGUGAAGUUCUUGUCUUUUUUCAGCAACAGCACAGUAAUAUUGGCAGCAACACAGUAACAGUGUCAGCAGCAGCAGCAACAGUGCAGUAGCCUAUAUUUUAAAAGCUUUGUUUAUUUAUGUGAAUACAUCUGAAAUAAGCAUGUGAAUUCGUUGGAUUAUAUAGUGUGUGCAUGUGAAGUGCAUAUGUAAAUUUAGAAGUAUGUAGAGUGCUCAGAGAGAUAGAAUGAUAGAGAGAAGAGAGCUCCUCUUCUCAUCCUUAGUGAAGUCGGUGAAAAUGAUGUAUAUAGUUUGUAACUCCGAAGAGAGAAGUACAACAAAACCAGAGAAGAAAAAAUUCAAGUACUUCUUCCUUCAGUUUUCAAUCAAUAAAACUCGCUUUGUUUAUAUAUGCUUUCUCUUAUUCUCUUAUUAUACUCCCUUACUCCGACCACUGUUAAUACCGUCAACCACUGUUAAUAGCCGCUCAUAACAAUUCCAGCAACAAAAGCAAUGAAGUAAGUCUUUUUCUUUUUCUAUUUUUGGUUUUCUUAGUAGACUUCUUGUCCAAAAUAGGGAAGCACUUUUAUAAUUAUUAUCUUGCUAAACUGAUGAUCAAUACUUUGUUUGAGCACUUGGUCAUGUUUUAUAUUUGUCAUAACAAUAAUUGGAUGUCUGUCAGGGAACCUCUGAGUUUAGAGGACCUCUGAGUUCUGCUCCAUAGCCCUUUAAGUUGGCAUCUUUGCAGUUCCAUAUUCUAGGCAUGGUAUCUUGUUGUUAUUUUAGCCUUUAGAAACCUUGACUGAGACCCGCUGAAAAGUAAUAGUAUCAGAGAUUUAGUUUAGCACCCUAAUUAUAUAAUUAUAACAGUAAAGUGCCUUGAGGACAAAAGUCAAUUAACACAACUGAUAAAAACCAACAUUUUAUAACGUGUCAAAAUUUUGAUAAUUACCAAAAUCACCAGUUAAGAACAGUAAACCCUUUGCCUGUUUGGCCUUUCGUGGACACCUAUUAGAAUAAAAGAAAGGUUACAAAAAUUAAAGAGAUAGAAAGCUGAAUACCAAAUAGAAAUUAGGAAUCUAGAAGAAUUAAUAAAAUCAUCAUAAAUAAGUAAUUAUCCCAGAAGAAAAUUAGAAGUACAGAAUAACAUAAUAAGAAACCAAUAUCAUCAUUUACAAGUUUGUACAGAAUCCAUAGAAGCAUUUCAAGAGCAUUUAGGUAUCUUAAAAGAAAAAGGUAGACUUAGAUAAAGUUAAUUAUAUGAUAGAGUACCUUAAUUUAGAAAUCAAUGAACAACAAAUGAAAAAAUUAACCUUAGAUAAUAAUACAUUAGUUUGUUAUUUUCCACAAAAAGAACACAAACAUCUUUUACACAGUAGUAAUAAUCCCUUAGAAAAUAGUAUUGUUGAUAUUUUAAUUAGCCUAGCAGAAAGUGUAAAAUUUGAACAUAACAAACAUAAUAUAAUAAUUCAACAGUUACUAGAAUAUUUUCAGAAAAAUUCCUUAAAAACAAUUAGACAAAACUUAGACUAUAUAACAUCUCAAUUAGAAGAUAAUAAUAAAAAUAUUCAAAGAUUUCCUAGUAAGAAAGAAAUCAAAGAUCUCAUAGAUCUUAUAGAUAGCAAGCCAAAACAAAUAGAACUCCAAUCAUUUGAAAUUAUUGAGCAAUUAAAAAUAGAAGUGCAAAAAAUUUAGUUAGUACAAAAAACAUUAACUGAACAAGUAGAAAAGUUACAUAAUCAAAUAGAUAGACUUUUAGUUUAAUGACAUAUUCUAAAAUUAAUAAUAAAUAUAUCAAAGCAUUAGAAGAAGUUGGUAAAUUAGAUAAUGAACCAGUAGGUCUUACAGAAUUUACAAAAUUUGUAGUAGGUAGUAAUAUCCCUAUAAGAUAAAAUAAUUUAAUUAUCCAAUUAAUUUUAAAUCUAGCUGAAAAAGUAGACCAAUUAGAAGAAAAAAUAACAUAAAUUAAUCAAUUAGUGUGCAAUACUACUUCCACACCACCCAAAGAAUUAAUUGAUAAAUUAGAAAAUUUAACCUUAGGAAAUAAUAUUCAUAAAAGAUAAAGUACAAUAAUCCAUUUGAUAAUAGUAAAUAGAACUCUUUAGAAGAAAAGGAAAAGAAAUAGUUAGAAUAGAAGAUGUAUACCCUAGUGAACAAGAAGCACAAGAAUUUUUUAGAAAAGGUUUUGAAAAAUGUCAAAAAAAUAAAUAUAAUUUAUAUAAAUUCGGAAGAUUUGAAAAUAAACAUAGUAUUGUAAGUAGCAUUAGUCAACAUGAAGUUAGCUGUAUAGAUAAAGAAGUAACUCUUAAUUUACUUAGUAAUACAGUAAUAGAACAUCUUUAAAAGUCACACUAUCAACAAAUUCAUAUAGGAACAAUUAUGAUAGGAAUAGCUGGACUCACAAGAGCACAAGUAGGAACUAAAGCAUUAGUAUAAAUAUAUGAUAACAGAUGGGACAACUAUCAGCAAGCAGCUAUAGCCACAGCAGAAGUAGAUCUUAGCACAAACCUAUUAGUCAUAGGAUGUAUUCCUAAUUAUUUCAUGAAUAUUAGAGAAUUUAGUAAACAUAUUGAAAUUAGCAUAAGAACAAAAAAUUAUAGUAUGAAAGGGGAAUACAAAAAUUUAAGUAUUAGUCUUAUGUAUGAGGAAAAAUUUCAGAUAACUAUAACUAUAAAUUUAAUGUAGAAUUUCAAAAUUUAGUACAAACUUUUGGUAGUAAACAUGUUAAUAUGAUAGAAGCAAAACCAGUAGAUAAUAGCUUUUUAGAAGGAAUAUAAUGGAUUUUACCCAAUUUACAAGUAGCAAAAAAUAAUAAGAUUUACUAAUUAUAAACAAAUAAAUGAUAUAGAAGAUUUAGAAAGUGAAUUAGAAGAAGAAAUACACAUGACAUUUGAUAAUUUAGAAAUAAAUAUGAUUGAGCAUAAUUUUGAUAAUAUAGCUGAUAAACUCAUAGAUGACAUAUAUAAUUUAAAUGAAGAAAAAUAUAUAGAAAAAUAUAAAACUUAUAAUUUAGGAUUACAUAGAUUAUCAGAUAAAGAAGUGAAAGAUUUAAUUAAAUAUAGGAUUAGAACAUAUUUUAGGAGAAAAAGAAUAUCAAAAUAUGUUAAUUAAAGUAGAAUGCAUGCCAGCAAAAGAUCAAUAUAGUUCAACUGGACCAUCUGUAGUUCACGCAAGUAGAACAGACCAGCAAAAUCUUAGGCAAACUAAUGAACUAGAUAGAGAAAAUAAUGAAGAAACCUUUAGGAGUGUUUUUCAACAAGAAACAUUUGGACUAAGAAAAAAUAGAAUUCCUUAUAAAGGAAUCGAACAAAUUAGUUUAGUAGGAAAUAUAUUAAAUUUAGAUCAUGUAAACCCACAAGAUUGGAAAAAAAAAACUACAGAAAGAUGGGAAAAAGGAUGUGUACAAGCAGCAUUAAUGUUAGAUUUUAGUAAUAACAUACUUUAGAUGGAAUGGAUUUUGAUUACUUCCAAACAUGGAAAAUUAAAAAUCCAAGAGAACAUCAAACAGUAAAAGAAAUAAUUAAUAUGGAUGCAUUUGUUAAGUUAAUUAAAUAUGAAUUUUUAGAUCAUAACAGAUUAGAUGGUAGAAAUGAAUAGGGCUGGCAAUGGGUCGUGUCGUGUCGGAAUAAUAAACGUGUCAAGAAUGCUCAACCCGAACCCAACCCAUUUAAUAAAUGUGUCGUCUCGUGCGGGUUUCGAGUCGUGUAACGGGUUCAUAAAGAAUAACAUGCAUGUUACAAAACUCACAACCGAAAAAAUUUUAAUUAAAAAAAAACAAAGAGAGUAGAGAAAAUAUAAGGAAAAGAAAGAAAAAAUAGAUAGAGAGAGGAGAGAAGAGAGAAGGAAAAGAAAGAAAAAAAAAUAGAGAGAGGAGAGAAGAUUGAAGGAAAGAAAGAAAGAAAAAAGAGAGAUGAGAGAAAACUAAAGAGAAGGAAAAAAAAGAAAAAAAAAAAGAGAGAAGAGGAAAGGAAAAGAGAGAAAAAAGAAGGAAAAGAAAGGAAAACUCAAAAGAAAAAGAAACAUUAUAAAUUUCAAAAGGCAUACCAUAAAAUCCCAAAGUUGUUUGUAGCAUGGUGGAUAAGAUGUUUGAGAGAAAUGAGGAUGGUAGGGGUUCGAAACCCUUUGUGUAUGUGCUGAAGUCUCCAUUUGUCUUUAUAUUUUAGCGGGUACACGGGUUGACACGACCCAUGACACGACCCGUUUAAUAAACGGGUUAGAUAGGUAUUAUAGUGGGUUAGAGGGUUGACCCGAAACCUACCCGUUUAUUAAACGGGUCAGAACGGGUUGACUCGAAAUUGACCUGUUUUUUUAUCAUGCGGGCUUCGAGUCGUGUCCGAAAUUGCCACCCCUAAAAAUGAAUAAGAACAAGUUAGAGCCAUAAGAAAUUUAGAACAAUUACAAAUUUGUGAUUUACAAUAUAUUAGUGAAUAUACUUCAGACUUUUUCAAGUAUUUAGGUAGAACGGGCAGAAUUGAUGAUCUUAAUUUAUUAGAUACUUAUAUGACAACCAUUAAAGGACCAAUAGGAGAAAGAAUUUGGAAUGAAUGGCAAAAACACCCUAGAAAACUAGAUGUAUCCAUAGGAGCAAGAAUACAACAGGUAUAUAAUAUAUUACGAUCAGAAUGUAGUCAAAUAAAAGCAAAAAGACUAAUUAGAAAACAGUUUUACAUGAGCUGUAAAAAUGUAGAUUUACCUAAACAAUAUGGAUGUCAUAGAAAAUUUAAGCAGAAAAAAGUCAUAUAAAAAGAGUUAUAGAAAAUAUAGACCUUAUAAACAACAAUAUAAAAAUUUUAGAAUUCAACAUUCAAAAACUUUUAGAAGAAGAAAAUAUAUCCCUAAACAAUUUAGAAAAAGAACAAACAAACCAUGGAUUAGAAAGUACAAAGUACCCAAUAAAAGUACAUUUAAAUGCUAUCUUUGUGGUGAAGCAGGACAUAUUAGACUUAAGUGUCCCAAAUUAGGAAAGCAACCUAGAGAAAAAAUACAAUUAAUUGAGCAAUUUCAAUUAGAAGAUGAUGAAGACUUAGAAUCAAUUUAUAGUUUUGAUGAUAAUUUAAGUGAUAAUGAAAGUAUUUAUAGUGUUAAUGCCUUAGAGUUAGAAUCAGAAUUAGAUUACUCUAGUAAUUUUGAUAGUGAAUUAGAUGAAUAUACGUGUAUUUUUGAAGAACAAACAGAGCAUGAGGAAUUUAAAUAUGUUAAUUUAGGAUGGCCUCAAGAAUGUAAUCAAUGUAAGAAAAUAGUGGUAGAAAAAUAUUACACUAAGACCGUAGUUUAUUGUAAACUUUGUUAUAAUAAUAGACCAAUAGAAAUAAAUACAGCUGAAAUAAUAGAUAACAAUAAUCAAAAUAAUAAUAGCCCCAGUAUAGAGAAACAAAAUACAAGUUCAUUAAUAACAAUUAAUUGUGAGUUAUAAUUGUCAAAAUAAAAUAAAAUUCAAACAACAGCUAUGAUAGAUACAAGAAGCAUAAAAAAUGUAAUAAAAGAAGAAUUAGUGCUAGAACAAUUUAGGCAAAAACUAGCUAGAUGAGUAAGAAUUAUACAGUUUGAUACAAGACUUGUAUAUUUAACACACUGUAUUAAUAAUAUACUAAUUAGGAUAGAAAGACAACAGUUUAAUUUACCCUUAACCUUUAUAUCCCGGAUCAUAUCCUUUUAUCUUAGGAUUAAAUUUCUUAAAAAGUUUACAAGAAGGAUUUUUAUAUACACCUAUAGAUAUUACAUUUUUUAAGAAAGGUAUAACCACAACUGAUCAAAGUAAUAUAUUAGAGUCUUACAACAGUAUUAACAUAGAAGAACAAAAUUUUAAAUACUAUAAUAUGGAAGAAGUAGAAGAAAUAAAUGAAGAAAUGUGUGACACCCGACCCAAUUUAAUCAUUUUAUUCAAUUUAACUCGAUUUAUUUAAAUUGUGAAAUUACAAUUUUACCCUUGGAAUAAGGUCACGAUAGUCAGUUUUCGAUCCGUAAGGAUUUUUGAGAUUUGAGUGGCACAGUUGCGUUGAGCUUGUCGCCAUUGUGUUGAGCUCGUCGAUAUGAGUUCGUAGACACGUAGUGGGUCGAAAUCAUAGUUUUAACGAAAAAGUUACGGUCAACAGAAGUGUAGUAGCACAACCAUAAAUAUUAGAAAGUCGGAUUUUUAAAUAACCAGUCAGCUCUCUCUUUCUCCCCUGACCUCUACCUCUCUCUCUCUCUCUCUCUCUCUCUCUCUCUCUCUCUCUCUCUCUCUCUCCUCUCCAUACACGCAUGACAGCCGAAAUUUCAGUUGAAGAUUCCAGCGCCGUCCGGCCACCAUUUCCAACGAAACAAGUUGCAAAAUCUUCGUCUCUUCCUCCUCUACCCAUCCAUACCCAUUUUCACCUUUGAAACUCCAAGAUUGGUCGCGAUUUUCAACUGAAACUGAGUCAAAAACCACUUUCGUCCUCGAAAUUGUUCGUACGAUUUUCAGCUAUUCUAGAAGCCAAAAUUUUCGAACUAGGUAUGAAACUUCAUCUACUCUUUGUGCUCUACCUGUUUAUGUACUUGGUUUGGGUUAAUUUUGAUGUUUUAGAAAUCGAUUCUUAAGCCCAUUUUUGGCCGACUGUUUUGGCUUUGUUCCGGCUAGUUCCAGAUAAUUUUUGGCCAUGGUCCAAGAACAAAAGUUGCUCUCCUAGUUGUCCUGAUCACGUAGGUAUAGGUAUUGUUAGGUGUUUUGAGAAUUUUCCGGUCGCCGAAAUUUUCUCAAAAUACCCACCCGCUGCCAGCUCGUGUGGCGACGCGUGGGUCAUGAGGUGGUGGCCCAUUUUGUCCUAAAAUGUUCCUCAUGUCAUCCCGAGAAUGACAGUAUGCUCGGAUUCGAAUUUGGUUAUCGUUUGACAGUUGAAUGGAUUUACGCAUAUUAGACGAUAUCAGGGUUCGAUAUGUUUGGAUUGUUGGAUCGGCUCCAUUUCCAAGUAUGUUGAUCUAGGUAUCUCUAGGAUCGUGUAGGAACUCAAGGAUCGAGAAUCAGAGUUCCAGAUACUCAAAGUUGACAUAAAACGGUGACUGUUGAAAUUAAAAAAAAUCGGCCAAAUAAAUCUUAUUAUUUAUUUCAAAUAAAAAUUAAAUGAUAAAGUCAAACCAACAUGGGUUCCCAAAAUUUUGGGAUAUCUGUUAUGUUUCAAAUUGGAAAGGCUAAAGCUGAUCAGCACUUACUUGAAAUUCAAAAAGUGUUGUGUUUUCAAAGGAGUUUUAUCUAGUUGGCCUAUAAAAAGGCUACAAUAGAAAAAGAAGAAAAGAAAGAAAGGAGAAAGCCGACGACAGAUUAAAAAAGACUGCAAGAGAAAUUGCUAUAGGUAUACUGUCAUCUCUAUUCUCUUUUCUAUAUUGGGCAUGGCAUGCCACAAAUCCAUGGGUAAGAAACCUAAAAAUUACUUGAAUGCGAAUUUAUGGGUGAGAAACCCUAAAAUUAUUAGGAUGCAAAUUCAUAGGCGAGAAAUUCAGAAAUUACUUGAAUGCAAAUUCAUAGGUGAAAAACCUCAAAAUUAUUUAGAAAUAAAAAUUCAUAUGGAUGAACAGACAAAAAAAAGAAGAAGAUGAAAGACAGCCACGUUUUAAUGGUUUAGCCUGAGGUUGUUGGCAUUCAGAAACAACAAACCAAAAAAAAAAAAGGCAGCAAAUUAAAAGGAUUGGAAUGAAUGGUUUGCGCUAGUGCCAUAUUAAAACAAUAAACAAAAGGAGGCUUGAAGUGGCCACGUCCGACAGAUUGGCUUUGAAACAAAAGCAUGGGCUUGGUGUGUGAACAGGCAAGAAGAAAAUAUAAAAAUAUAUACAUAUAUAUAGUUGGAAAAAAAAAAGAAAAGAAGAAAAGUAAAAAUAAAAAAAACAAAAAAAACCUAAAGAAAAGAGGAAGGAACAAAAGUGGCAUACACAGCCACUUUCUUUGUGUUGCUGAGGAAAAAAAGAAGAAAAAGACAAAAAAGUGUGGGAAACUCUUGGCAGCUUGCGGCAGCCUAUUUGUUGGUUUGCGAAAGUUCUGUACCAAUUGUGCCUUUCUGUAGUCCUUUAAAUGCUGAAGAGAUACAAUGUUUGCUCUUAAUUUGGACUGAUCUCAAGUAUUUCAAAUAAAUAUGGGAGUGCAAGGUAUGAUUUUACUUGGAAACAAAUUCUAGGAAGAGUUGAAUAGCUAUCAGGUCGCUUCAAUCGGCUGCUGGACCAAAGUUUUUUGUGGGUUUCUUGCUUGUGAGCUAACUUACAACAAAUAUUAAAGGCUCGAAAUAGAUUAAUGGGCCGUCAAAAAUAAUUGCCUAUUAAUUGUCAAAAGUCCAUAAUGUUUAAUGGGUGGACUAAAUAAACAUUAAUUAAAUUUAUAGAUGCUCAAAUUGCCUAUUAUAUGGUUCAUUGAUCAAUUUUAAAAAUCCUCGUAGCCAUAUUUGAGUCCAAGUGCAAAUGUCAAUUUUAGAAAAUUAGUGGGUUAAUAAAAAUUUCUCAUUAUUUUUCUUGGGCAUUGACAAAAAGAAAAAUGGUACAAAACCAUCCAAUUUUUCCCAUGGGUCAUCUACCCAUGCCAAUUUCAAUGAAAUUAAAUUCUAGUCUCUCAAACACAAAUUCUCAAUUAAUAGGUCACACUUACCCAUUAAUUUUCAAUUUUUCUCAUAGGUCAUCUACCUAUGAAAAUCUCCAAAUUGUCCCAAAGACACAAAUUCUCAAUUAGUGGGCCACACUUACCCAUUAAUUACCAAAUUUUGGAACUACGCCAGUUUGAUCCGAUUAAGGGUACAUAGGCAAUCUAGCAUCCUAAUAGACACAACCACAACCAAAUUUGAAUUCCUGGUUUAUUAUUAACCAAAUUCACCCCAAACACACAUCAAAAUUGAAUCCCUGGCUUAUUCAGCUAAAUUCACUCAUACACUUUUUAAAUAAAAUUCAUUAAAAUUCCCCCUUUAGCAAUGAGUCAUUUAUUCAUUGCAAUUCUUUGAACUACAAGUGGCUUGAUUCCCGCUAGGGAUACGUAGUGUCACAGCCUGCAUGUUCAAGGCCCAACCCGUUGGAUUGAUCAUGCUAGACCUCUUAGCCCACAUGUCCAGAUUCGUUGUACAAUAGUAGGUAGACUACGGUUGGUGACAGUAGUUGGUAGAUGCCGGUAGGUGACAUUGUAUCUUAGCCACCUACCAUGAUGGUAGGUGGGAUAGAGAAAGUAUAUAAGGAGGAUGACACAAUGUGUAUCCUCACCUCACAACUUGUAAAGCAUUGAGUAGCAAUACAAGCAUAUAUUCUCCCAAACUUUCUUAAGCGUUCUUAUUGUGUUCUUGCUCUUGCAAUUAUUCUUUGUUUGGUUCGAUCUUGUAUUGUAGGAAGGAGGCUGACUUAGCUUGUUCGAGAGGCGAUCAAGUCUAAGGCCGCACGGAAGGAAGAUUCCGAAAAAGUCAUCCCGUGACAGUUGGCACCUUGAGGUUGGACUUAGGAGCAGCCGCAAAACCAAAGAGGCAGAAAGAAGCAAAGAGGCAGUCUAUUAAGGCAAUCUUAUUUGAGCUUUCUGGGACAAGCUCAAUGAUGAUUGUAAGUUGUGCCGACUCCUAAGAAGAGUAAUACCACCCGUUUUGUCCAAAUCAUGAUUAGAUCAAUCUCGGUCAACCUGUAUCCUACAGAUUCUGUCCUGAUGACUUCCACGAACGAAACUAGUAAGGAAAGUCAAAAGGAUAACUCUGUGGAGAACGCUGAGGUUCAAGGGGCCGAACCUCCAUCAAGCCAUCGAACCCAUGUUGUGGAAUCCACAUCACAAGAGGUUUACCCAUAUUUUUCAAAGGGUAAAAGUAAAGCCAUCAUCAUGAACAAGAAGGUGGUGAACAUACCUCAUCCACAAAGGAAGCUCGUGCAAAAGGUGAAGAUAACUGAUGUUUUAAGGGAUCAAAUUCCAUAUCACAAGGGGCAGUCCCGAAACCUCAAGAUCAGUCGAGGUCCUAUAUGGGUCCAUUGACUCGUUCCAAAUCCCGAGACAUGAUGGAGAUGAUUAUUCCCGAGUUAUCCGCUCUAAACUCAACCCACUUGGACAACUAUUUGUUAUGGAAUCCUUUUUAUGAUGAUCCCAUAUCUCAAACUCAAGAGAAUGAUUACAUAAAAUCCUAAGGAGCCAAACGUCAUGAGGGAGUGGAAAGCAUGCAAGUCAUUAUGACUGGUACUUCUAAUACUAAGGACCAGUUACCCUUAAUCCAAGAAAUGAUGCAAGAUAUGCGAAGGGAAAAGCAGCAGAAGUUGGCAGAGAAAGACACAGAAAUAGUGUUACUAUUUGCCCAGUUGAAAGAAAUAGCCACUAUGGGAAAGUAGGACAGGGACAAAGCAAAUGAAUUCGUGACCCAAGAACAACAAAGGAAAGAGGAAAAAGGAGAGGGCUCUACGAGCACAAUUUCCCCAAACGACAUAAAGGCAUUAAUUGCUGAGGGGAUUCCUGAGUUCCAAAUGUCCAUAGCACCUCCUGUUCAAGGGUAUCGAUAACCCUUCCCUUCUCCUUCUCACUAUGACGCCAUCUCAUUCCCGAAGGGUUAUCAACGGCCCAUAUUUGAUAAAUUUGAUAGCAUAAAUAGCUCACCCCAUGAACAUCUGGCACAUUUUUAUUCAGCAUGUGGCGAGACAUCUCAGUCUGACAUUUUCCUGGUGCAUCAAUUUGUCCAAUCCCUAAAAGGAUCAGCUUUUACUUGGUACACACAGCUACCGCCAGGCUCUAUCCUAACAUGGGAUGACAUGCAGAAAGCAUUCUUGGCACAAUUUGUUAGUUCUAAGAAGAAGGUCUUGAUCAUGGACCUAGCUCUAACUACCCAAAAGCCAGGAGAAAGUACCAAUGACUUCAUACUGAGAUGGAGAAGCCUCAAUCUCCAAUGCCCAGAGAAAAUUACCGAUCAAUCAGAAGUGCAAAUGUGCUACAACAACCUCAUACCAGACAUUGCAACUUUUGUUGCCAUUGCUGAACCUCAAUCAUUUGAUGCCUUGGUGUUAAAGGCAAGCAAUGUUGAAAGACAAAUUGCUCGCAAAAAAUCCGAGACCCAAAAAAUUCAAUUUGAGGAAAAGAAAAAUGACAAGAAGUCUACGAAGGGAAGUCGUUGGCCACUUUUGUCAAAACAGAAAAGAAAAAUGACAAAGGCCAAAGUAAAGAUCCACCCAAAAGGCUCACUCUUAAGGAGCGCAAAGAGGUCAAAUAUUCUUUUGACGAUGAUGAUGUAGAAGAAAUCUUUGACCAACUUCUUGCCUCUAAUGCUAUUACCCUGCCAGAAUCAAAGCGUCCUGCUGGGGCCAACAAGAUAAAUGACCCUAGUUAUUGUCGGUAUCAUCGCCUUGUCAGUCAUACGCUCAAGGAUUGUUAUAUCCUGAAGGAUGAAAUCCAAGAGCUCCUCAACAAUGGUGGUUUAGAGAUAGACUCUUCUUCUCGACAUCAAUCAACUGCAACAAAUAUGAUUGAGGAAAAGCUCACACCCACCACUGCAUUAUUAGAUGGAGAGAAAUUUGUAGGUAUUAAAAAAGACAAUGGGGACACAAUUAUACAUGCCUAUCCAAAUGCACCAUGCCCUAGUGAUCUUGAAAUUCCCACUCUUCAAGAGCUCAUGACUAUACCUAGUCCAGAGAUAUGGGAAGAUUCUUUGGCCGACGAAUCUUUUGAGAGGUGGAAGACAUUUGUUAAAAGAGCCAAGCACAUGGCCAAACAUUUCCCAUCCAAUCACAAAUCUGUUACUCGUCCUGGUGUCAAGAUUCAAGACAUGCCUUCUUUCAAAAAUAAGAGGAAGAAGAAGAAGGUGCAAAAGAAAGUUCAAAUCCCUCAAGAGGAUGAAUAUGAACAACCCGCAAGGGUCCCUGUCACACUCACUGAGUUUUUGCUAGUUUAGUUCUUCUCGAGUGAAUCCAAAGUUGAGGAAGAAAUUAUUCAAUGCAACAUGGUUUCUGUGGAGGAAUAUGAGGUUGACACAUAGGUUGAUGAGAUUAACCUCCACUCUGGUCGAAGCAUCCCAUCUGCUGAUAAAGCACAACAAAAUGAGGAAGUUGAUUCCUCUAAAAUCGAGAAGAAGUCAAAGGCAAAAGAGAUUAAGGUCUCCUCAUCAAAAAAAACUGUUGCAGGGGAAGAUCCACCAUCCUCCUCAAAAGCGAAGGACCCUAAGCCCGAUACCGGUAAAACCAAGGAGUCAUCGCAAUCAAAUGCACUUAAGUAUGAUAUUUUGGCUCAUCUUAAGCGCAUCCCACUCCUUUAAGUGUCUAUGACGCUUUAAAAAUAUUAAGAGAGCUUAGGGAAGCACUUGUAAUGGCUUUAAUGAGCCCGGAUUUGUACAAAUCAUGUUUCAAAUCAGCGGAUGUCCACACAACUGAAACCUCAAAGUUUUGUGCAUCGUGUCCAGUAGAGAUUACCUUUGGUGAAGAUGACUUUUUACUUGGGUCCAAAUUCCAUAAUUGACCUCUUUAUGUCACUGGCGAAGUUGGAGGCACGACCAUUAAUUAAAUUUUGUUAGAUUGUGGUUUGGUCAUGAAUCUUAUCCCAUUAAAGACGCUCCAUGCUAUAAGGAUGAGUGUCCGACAGUUGUCUCCCUCUAUGCUGACUAUUCAAGGGUUCAAUCAAUUUGGGUAAAAGGCCAUGGGCUCUAUCGCACUGCAAAUGGAAAUAAGGGACCUAUAUUCAAACGCCCUAUUCCUUGUGAUCGAUGCUAACACUUUGUACAACAUCCAAUUAGGACGUCCAUGGCUCCAUACAUAUGGCGUAGUCCCUUCUACACUUCACCACUGCUUCAAAUACUUGGUAGAUGGGGAAGUCAAGAGCGUUUCAGCUGACAUGGACCCGUCCAGAGGCGAAGUUUUACGGUCCACCUGGUAUCUCAUUCACCCAGCCAUCAAAGGUUGAUUUUUCCAAUUUGAGAAAUAACAUUAGGUCCUAACCAAUUCAAUUAUUGUACGAAAGCAGAUUUGAUUUGCAAUUACUGACAACUCAUAGAUUGAGCAAAAUUUUGUUAAGAACAAACUAUGCAUGUAAUGUAAAUUUAUGUGAGAUAAAUGAAUUUUAAAAUAAAAAAUACAAACUCUGUUUUCGGGGCCUCAGUACAUAGUAAUAAUAUUACAACCAGAGAAAUGAGGAUUUUCAAAUGCACAGCAUUUGCAAAUAAAUUAGCAACAACUACCAUACAUAGUCUUUUGAAACAUGAACAGAAAACUAACCUGUAAUCAGAGAAACUAUCAAACACUUUCCAAAAUAGGUACACAAAAGCAGAACAACAUCACCUAUCCAAAAUACAAAGACAGAAAAACAAAAUGAAACAACAAUUAGGCGAGAAGAACAAAAAAGUAUCAAAAAUAACUUGGUAACUACAAAAUACAACCAAAAAACACUUCAAACACAUGGCUCAUCAGUAGGAUCAUACAUAAUUAAUCACCAACUAACCUUACCCUAACCAUAGUUACUAAAAAAUUAAAUAUAAUAAGAGAUAUAUCCAGACGAUUAAAUAAAUAAAUUUGACAAUCCUGCUUAGUUGCUUGUGGAAUACAUAGAUCGGACGAAUAUGGUUAAUUGAGGAGAGCACUACGCAUAUGACAAAAGCAGCUCCAGUACACAUUGUCUUCACUCACACACACACGAGAUUGGACAUAACGGGAGAUUGGAAAGAACUAAUUUUCACAUGAGAAGAUGAGAGAUUGUUCAUUAGGAAGAGACAGAACGGCUACAACAAUACAAGUUAGGUUAAUUCCUUUUUUUCCUUUUUUGGUCGUGUUAAGGCCCAAAUAUAUUUCUAGCCAGUACAACACCUAACUUGGAAAGAAACUUAACUUGGGUACACUAGAGUUUGUCAUAUACGCUUGCACACAUGCCACGCCAAGCAAAUAAGCAACACGCCACGCUACAAGCUUAAGUGGGCCUAAGCCACGCAAAUGUGUGGGGCUUGCUAAGCAAGUUGUGGUAUGGAUGGUUACGAGUUUUCAUGAGGCCCAUUGAUGAAACGAGAAAUGGAAGUUUUGGGUUACUUGGGAGCCCUGAAACUCAAGCCCAUUUCUGGAGGCCAAAUAUGUGGGUUAGCAUAAAGGAGAAAAAAUAGCCCAAUACUUUAGGAAAAAUAGCCCAAUAGUCUAGGAAAUUAGACCAUUCCCUUAAUGGGUUAACCCAUCACCUUAGAAAGGCCCAAGCAACCAAGGAAAAUAUCUGCAACCUCCAGCACUUAGCUGGAAACAAGGGUCACGACAAAAGCCAAGGGUUACUUGUGUAUGCAGGCUAUUGGGAGUCUCGAGCACAUGGCCAAGAAACAAACCCAAGGCAAACCACUCGAAGAACCAAAGAAUAUUAGUGCGAGCAGCACCCUUCAGACCAACGUUGUUACCCAUCUCUUUCUCCUACCAGCUCUUGCCAUGAAUAGGGGAGGAAAGAAAGAGAAAUAGUAACCAAAGAUAGGAGAUUGCCACUGGAAUAACUGCGAGAAGGCUCUAGAGCCUCCAAAAAUCUUGUCUUUGAGUGCUUGGACUAAGGAAGAUUUUACAAAAUAGGGAUGAAUCAGAGGAAGAGAAGAGAAAGGGAGGGAAAGACUUGGCAGAUUGGGGAGGAACCAUCUAGGGUUUCUUGGGAAGAAGGAGUUUCCAGCGCCUAUAAAAAAAGGCAUUUCCUAUCCAUCAUCUCAACCCACAUCCAGAGAGCAAGCUUCAUCUUUCAUCCCUGAAACUCUGCAAUUUCGAGCCCCAUUCCUCCAUCUCCUCCCAUUUUCUCUUUUGGUAAAUCAUUCCAAAGCUUGACAGAGCUUUUGUCAAGCAACCGAAAACUACCCAACACACCCAUUGUUAUCCCCCCAUCUCUCUCUCUUAAACGAACCCUCUUAGAAUCCCUUCCCCUGGCCUUAUAAUCCCUGUUUCUCAUAGGAACUCACAGCUCUCUCUCUUUUUAAUGCUAAACUCAUGACUGCUUAGCUUCCAUUCCACAAGCUUCUCAAGCCAAGCCAAGAAUUUAUCUAUAAGCAACUGUUGGUUACAUUGGUGAAGGAGACCAAUGUGUUUCCUAAGGUUCAGCUACCCUUUCGAAGCACUCUUAGGGUCUGAUUCUUGAACUUAGACUCAGGGGGAAUUUUCACCCAUUUUCUCUUUAUAGCAGCCCAGGCCCGUCUGUAGCUGCGGGAACGAAAAAGCCCCCGCAGGUCGAAAGGUUAAUUUUUUUUCAAAAUCUUAAAUUUUUAGCCUUGAUGAAAUUUAAAUGAGGUGGCAUGUGGAGAAGAGAAAUCAAGCAGAUCAUGAUAAAGAAAAACCAAGCUGAGAAUCUGAAUCCAUGUAUAAGAGCAUAUAUUGGUUAGUAGGCUGAGAUUCUAUCCUCUCCAAUGUAACCAAAUUGAUUAUAAUGGCAAACUUAUUGUCCUAAACAACAAAAGAUGAUAGACCUACACUUUCCAUAAACUGUUUUACCAUGAAUAAUCCCUCAACUAUACGAACCUCAUCAUUUUGGUCCUUCAAAUUGAGCAACGUAAUGAGUUUGACUUAAUUGUUCUUUUAGUGAAUUUGGGACGUGACACAUCGGCUAGAUAUUGCACAUAAUUGAAACAACUACACCCCAAAACACGAAUUGCAUCAAUUCCAAAGGUCUCUUGGAGAAAAAAAGAGAAACAAAAUAACUCAAAAGGAUUAAUGGUUUUGAGUAAAACAUGUUCGAAAGAUCGAACUAUGCUUCAAUUUAAUUUUGAAAAUAAAUGCAUGGAUUAUGCUUCUAUUUAUAUGAUAUGUAUAGUACAGUUUGUCUUAUUUGUAGCAGUAACCAUGUUAUAAUAAUUAGAAAUUUUUAUUAGUUUCCUCUUCAGAUGAUAGCUAAUUAUAUUUAAUUGGUGAUUAACCUCUAAAUCUUAUUCUUUGGAUGUUACAAUAUUAUGGGAAGACAUCCACGAUGGGGACUACGCCUGCUUACCAUCAGGAGCAAUAAACAUGUGCUCUGGAGAAGUUGAUGGGUUAGUUGCAAGAUUCCAAACAAUUAUUUGAAUCCUCUCAAAUUCAACUCAGCAUGCUGAUGAUGUAGAGUCAAAAGGUUAUGUAAGGCUUUCAAUAUAAAGUAGAAAGGCAGAAUUCUUACCUUUGCUGUUUUACUCCCAUUGACAGAUAAAGAAGAUGUGUAAUCAAAUAAGGGCUGCUGGCAUUCUUUAUACGCAAAUCAAAGAGUCGCUGCAACUGCAACUACAUGUCGAGAGGCCUCUUCGUUACAGGUGCAUAGAUGAGAUCCAUCUAACUAUCUCAGUGGUGUCUCAAGAUUAUAUGAUUUUUAUAUACGGGAUCCAUUGAAUUUCUUGUUUCCAUAUUGUAUUUUACUCUGCAUUAGAGUCCUUGUUGGGGUCAAUAACUGUAAACUGGUUUGGAACUCAUAACAUUAGCCAAAUCAGUGAUAGGAAUUCUCACGGCUUGUCUUUGUGCCAGUAAAAAGAGAUCUCUGAACUUGGAAGACUUUGAUGUUGCAGAGGACUAAUAGAAAACACAAUGCCAAGUACCUCUUGUUACAUUCUAAUAUUUCAAUUUCAUUUAUUUACUUGCACGAACAGAUUCAGCGAAAUUUAAAGUUGCGAAUUGAUGAACAAGGGAAGCAGCUAAAGAAGAUGUUUGAUCUGCAACCCAAAAAAAAAAAACAAGUAACAACCUGUUGAAGACUCAUGCAGUUCUCUUUAGUCUUUGGUGAGAAAAGAAAAGGUGGCAGAUUUUAACCAAACCAUUACAAAGAAAAGGAUAGAUGUACAAGAAUCUCAUGCAGUUGAAGCGCUCAUGUGAAGAGCUACUAAGGAUGCAUAAGAUCCAUUCGAGAUAUUCAUCAAAGUAUCAUGCUUGCCUCUCUCUACGAUAACCCCAUUUUUUACCACUGCGAUCACAUCAGCAUUCUUGAUUGUGGAUAGUCUAUGGGCAACCACCACUGUGGUCCGGUUUACCAUCACUCCGUCUAAUGCAUCUUGAACCACUCUCUCAGAUUCAGCAUCGAGUGCACUUGUAGCUUCAUCUAACAGUAAUAUCUUGGGGCUCUUGAUUAUAGCACGCGCAAUGGCUAUGCGUUGCUUCUGUCCCCCGGAUAAUUGCACUCCUCGUUCUCCUACUAUGGUGUCAAACCCCUGCAUAAUGCAUUCGGAUUAAUGUUGCAACAAUCUAUUAUAAGUUAUAACUAAGAUCAGUUGACUUGUACCCAAAAACAUUUAUUAUAAUGCAUUAAUGUUCUAACCUGUCCUAAGCUACUAAUGAACCUGUAGGCAUUGGCCAACUCGGAUGCAGCUAUAAUUUCGGCCUCAGUUGCAUCUCCUUCUUUUCCAUAUGCAAUGUUGGCGCGGAUGGUGUCGUUAAAUAAAGCAGGUUCUUGGCUCACAAGCCCCAUCUGUUGCCUUAACCAUUUCAAUUGGAAUUUUCCAAGUUCAAUUCCAUCAAGUGUGAUAUGACCUGAAUCCGGAUCAUAAAAUCUUUGCAACAAUGCUACUACUGAGGAUUUUCCACUCCCAC
This 35560-nucleotide long non-coding RNA is filed under the name Prunus persica (peach). RNAcentral's name for it is "long non-coding RNA (PPER_LNC003304)". The record is from RNAcentral. Lineage: Eukaryota; Viridiplantae; Streptophyta; Magnoliopsida; Rosales; Rosaceae.